RNAcentral lists this ribosomal RNA (117 nucleotides) under Procavia capensis (Cape rock hyrax). The record is from RNAcentral. Lineage: Eukaryota; Metazoa; Chordata; Mammalia; Hyracoidea; Procaviidae.
GAAUGCAGCCACAUCACCCUGAACACACCGGAUCUUGCCUGAUCUCAGGAGAGAAGCAGGGCUGGGCCCUGUUAGUAGUUGAAUGGGAGGCCACAUGGGAUGCCAGUGUUACAGUCU